This is a long non-coding RNA of Peromyscus leucopus (white-footed mouse), 345 nucleotides long. RefSeq lists it as uncharacterized. The record is from RefSeq and is a predicted model, not a curated record. Lineage: Eukaryota; Metazoa; Chordata; Mammalia; Rodentia; Cricetidae. The transcript has 5 exons.
GUGAGAACUGAGUCAGCUGGGGCCCAGCUAACCUUCUCUGUGCUUGGACUAUGAAGAAUUCUUCAGCAGGACAAGAAAUGGUCUUGUAGUGUCACUUUGGGGAGUUCUGUAAGCUUGGGUCAAUGACAUCAUCUCUUUGGUUCUCAACACCACACACUAGUAAUAGUGAAGAAGACAACAAUCCAUUUCUGAAUGCUAGUAUUAGCGUCUAUCUUUCCUGAGAGUCACAGACUCCACCCAAAGCUGAAAACCAGAACUGGCCAUCUAUCUGAGCCAGCAGGAAAACAGAAAGAGCAUGAAGUUGUGUGGAGAGAAGGAGAGGAUUUUGGAGGAGUUGAGAGGGGG